RNAcentral lists this non-coding RNA (27 nucleotides) under Homo sapiens (human). The record is from RNAcentral. Lineage: Eukaryota; Metazoa; Chordata; Mammalia; Primates; Hominidae.
UGGAGAAGACAGAUGAUGACCUGUGGU